AUGGUUGUGAAGUUAAUGGACAGCCGGUGGGAGGUGAUUUUCUUUGUUCGUGAACACAAUCAUGCAUUGGUUGACAAACCAUCACUAACUAAGUACCUCCAAUCACAUCAAGGGAUUCCUCCGGAAGAAAAACUAUUCCUGAAGAAUCUUCAUAACUGUAAUUUGACCACAGGACGUAUGAUGAACAUCAUGUCUGAAUUUUAUGGGUCAGAGCUAAUCGUGCCUUAUGCAACUAAAGCAAUAUCAAAUCUUAAAUCCGGCUUGAACAAGAUGGCAACGAGGGAAGGAGAUAUGAUUGAGACAGUUGCUUACUUCAAGGAUCAACAG
This 327-nucleotide ribosomal RNA is filed under the name Triticum aestivum (bread wheat). RNAcentral describes it as "partial small subunit ribosomal RNA". Lineage: Eukaryota; Viridiplantae; Streptophyta; Magnoliopsida; Poales; Poaceae. The record is from RNAcentral.